GGGUCGUUAGCUCAGUCGGUAGAGCAGUUGGCUUUUAACCAAUUGGUCGUAGGUUCGAAUCCUACACGACCC
Molecule: transfer RNA, 72 nt
Filed under: Pseudomonas aeruginosa
Lineage: Bacteria; Pseudomonadati; Pseudomonadota; Gammaproteobacteria; Pseudomonadales; Pseudomonadaceae
Description: tRNA-Lys
Rfam family: tRNA
About the family: Transfer RNA (tRNA) molecules are approximately 80 nucleotides in length. Their secondary structure includes four short double-helical elements and three loops (D, anti-codon, and T loops).
Source: RNAcentral